Molecule: ribosomal RNA, 200 nt
Filed under: uncultured organism
Description: partial small subunit ribosomal RNA
Rfam family: Bacterial small subunit ribosomal RNA
Source: RNAcentral
GUCAAAUCAGCAUGGCCUUGAUGUCCGGGGCGACACACACGCUACAAUGGCCGGUACAAUGCGUAGCCAAACCGCGAGGUGGAGCCAAUCCCAUAAAACCGAUCGUAGUCCGGAUUGGAGUCUGCAACUCGACUCCAUGAAGUCGGAAUCGCUAGUAAUCGCAGAUCAGCAUUGCUGCGGUGAAUACGUUCCCGGGCCUU